Molecule: ribosomal RNA, 426 nt
Filed under: uncultured bacterium
Lineage: Bacteria
Description: bacterial SSU rRNA
Rfam family: Bacterial small subunit ribosomal RNA
Source: RNAcentral
UGGGGAAUUGUUCGCAAUGGGCGCAAGCCUGACGACGCAACGCCGCGUGGGGGAUGAAGAUCUUCGGGUCGUAAACUCCUUUCGAUCGAGACGAAUGGCCUUUGGGUUAAUAGCCUGAAGGAAUGACGGUACCGAGAGAAGAAGCCCCGGCUAACUCCGUGCCAGCAGCCGCGGUAAUACGGAGGGAGCUAGCGUUGUUCGGAAUUACUGGGCGUAAAGCGCACGUAGGCGGCUAUUCAAGUCGGGGGUGAAAGCCCGGGGCUCAACCCCGGAACUGCCCUCGAAACUAGGUAGCUAGAAUCUUGGAGAGGUCAGUGGAAUUCCGAGUGUAGAGGUGAAAUUCGUAGAUAUUCGGAAGAACACCAGUGGCGAAGGCGACUGACUGGACAAGUAUUGACGCCGAGGUGCGAAAGCGUGGGGAGCAAA